GACGAACGCUGGCGGCGUGCUUAACACAUGCAAGUCGAGCGGUAAGGCCCUUUCGGGGGUACACGAGCGGCGAACGGGUGAGUAACACGUGGGUGACCUGCCCUCAGCUCUGGGAUAAGCCCGGGAAACCGGGUCUAAUACCGGAUAUGACUCCAUGACGCAUGUUGUGGGGUGGAAAGCCUUGUGCGGCUGAGGAUGGGCCCGCGGCCUAUCAGCUUGUUGGUGGGGUGANGGCCUACCAAGGCGACGACGGGUAGCCGGCCUGAGAGGGCGACCGGCCACACUGGGACUGAGACACGGCCCAGACUCCUACGGGAGGCAGCAGUGGGGAAUCUUGCGCAAUGGGCGAAAGCCUGACGCAGCGACGCCGCGUGAGGGAUGACGGCCU
This 388-nucleotide ribosomal RNA is filed under the name uncultured bacterium. RNAcentral's name for it is "bacterial SSU rRNA". It matches the Rfam family "Bacterial small subunit ribosomal RNA", at positions 28 to 417 of the family's 1533-position model. The record is from RNAcentral.